RNAcentral lists this non-coding RNA (30 nucleotides) under Rattus norvegicus (Norway rat). The record is from RNAcentral. Lineage: Eukaryota; Metazoa; Chordata; Mammalia; Rodentia; Muridae.
UACUGCUUAGUUUUUGAGGGCGAAAGUUUU